CCUACGGGGGGCAGCAGUGGGGAAUAUUGGACAAUGGGGGCAACCCUGAUCCAGCCAUGCCGCGUGUGUGAAGAAGGCCCUCGGGUUGUAAAGCACUUUCAGUGAGGAAGAACGCCUGGUGGUUAAUACCCAUCAGGAAAGACAUCACUCACAGAAGAAGCACCGGCUAACUCCGUGCCAACAGCCGCGGUAAUACGGAGGGUGCGAGCGUUAAUCGGAAUUACUGGGCGUAAAGCGCGCGUAGGUGGCUUGAUAAGCCGGUUGUGAAAGCCCCGGGCUCAACCUGGGAACGGCAUCCGGAACUGUCAAGCUAGAGUGCAGGAGAGGAAGGUAGAAUUCCCGGUGUAGCGGUGAAAUGCGUAGAGAUCGGGAGGAAUACCAGUGGCGAAGGCGGCCUUCUGGACUGAGACUGACACUGAGGUGCGAAAGCGUGGGUAGCAAACAGGAUUAGAUAGCCUUGUAGUC
This 465-nucleotide ribosomal RNA is filed under the name Vreelandella stevensii. Its description in RNAcentral is "partial 16S ribosomal RNA". It matches the Rfam family "Bacterial small subunit ribosomal RNA", at positions 338 to 795 of the family's 1533-position model. The record is from RNAcentral. Lineage: Bacteria; Pseudomonadati; Pseudomonadota; Gammaproteobacteria; Oceanospirillales; Halomonadaceae.